RNAcentral lists this non-coding RNA (78 nucleotides) under pig gut metagenome. RNAcentral's name for it is "Cyclic di-GMP-I riboswitch". It matches the Rfam family "c-di-GMP-I riboswitch aptamer", at positions 12 to 83 of the family's 87-position model. Rfam says of the family: GEMM was predicted in a large-scale screen for bacterial structured RNA regulatory elements. Genes associated with GEMM are involved in a diverse array of functions, including chemotaxis regulation, signal transduction, secretion and chitin. The record is from RNAcentral.
GUAAACCUAUCAAAAGAUAGGGACACAAAGCUAUGGGGCUAAAACAGAUAAACCAUUUGUCAUGCUUGCCAGGUUGCA